UCCCCGGCCCUGCACAUAUUAAUUACAAGUAUAAAUAACAAUUUACUGUAAACCAACAUGGAGCUCACACUCAUUUCCUGUGCCAAGACAAUGGCGGUAAUUCUCAUCUCUAGAAUAAUUUCUCAUCAGCUUAAGCAAGUUUCAGACUGUUGAAAACUGUGACUCGGGCAUGAAAUUGCAAUACGGUCUGGGUCUUGAUUGACUUCUGCGCUCCCUCUGGUUCUCAGCUGCGGCGUAAACACACACAUGUAGGGGAGACGCGCUCCUGCUGAGGAUGGAAACGAAGACGCAACCCCCGACCGUGCGUCCGAACCCCGACUCGGAACGUGGGCUCCUGUCACGUGUUAGCACGAGGAAUCAGGGCCCGAAAAUGAAGUGCUAAAACUUAGCCAGAAAAUACAGCCGAAGAAGAGGCACAGGAGGUAGCAAGAAAUACAAUGGUGCCUUGGGAUAUCCAAAAAUCAAAUGCGUACAACUGUCAGAACAAUGGACAAAGAAGAUUCAGCAUCAAAAACCUCCAGCUGGUUACCUGCCUCCUUUCUACCAAUCACACCGAUGGGAUCACUCCUUUCCCACCAAAAUGGUAACUGAGUCCAGGCUCUUGGAUCCCUCUUAUUUCUGGAAUACCUGUAAUAGCUGCAUGUUCCUUACUAUGAUUGAUAGAGUAAAUAAUCUAAAAACCUACAAAAUGUUAGGAAAAUGUACAGUGACUUUUGCUGUCUCUAACAGCAAUCUGACGAGUUUAGUUCAAAAUUAA
Molecule: long non-coding RNA, 757 nt
Filed under: Fukomys damarensis (Damara mole-rat)
Lineage: Eukaryota; Metazoa; Chordata; Mammalia; Rodentia; Bathyergidae
Description: lncRNA (ENSFDAG00000033344.1)
Source: RNAcentral